Molecule: ribosomal RNA, 468 nt
Filed under: uncultured bacterium
Lineage: Bacteria
Description: partial 16S ribosomal RNA
Rfam family: Bacterial small subunit ribosomal RNA
Source: RNAcentral
GACGAACGCUGGCGGCGUGCUUAACACAUGCAAGUCGAACGGAAAGGCCCUGCUUUUGUGGGGUGCUCGAGUGGCGAACGGGUGAGUAACACGUGAGUAACCUGCCCCUGACUUUGGGAUAACUUCAGGAAACUGGGGCUAAUACCGGAUAGGAGCUCCUGCUGCAUGGUGGGGGUUGGAAAGUUUCGGCGGUUGGGGAUGGACUAGUGGCUUAUCAGCUUGUUGGUGGGGUAGUGGCUUACCAAGGCUUUGACGGGUAGCCGGCCUGAGAGGGUGACCGGCCACAUUGGGACUGAGAUACGGCCCAGACUCCUACGGGAGGCAGCGGUGGGGAGUCUUGCACAAUGGGCGGGAGCCUGAUGCAGCAACGCCGCGUGCGGGAUGACGGCCUUCGGGUUGUAAACCGCUUUCGCCUGUGACGAAGCGUGAGUGACGGUAAUGGGUAAAGAAGCACCGGCUAACUACGUG